UUCAGGAGUGGGGAGAACAGGUGGGAGCUGGCAGAAUCUCCCAAGAUGGUCACUCAUGGCCCACAGUGCUACAAGAUGAAAUUUCAUCAAGAGACUGGCGUCCAAACUGAAGUGACUCCUAGCCACUCUCCUUAACGGAGGGCAAGACGGCAGCACGGGGGCUGAGGGUUCCGCACACUUCUCCGGAACCGAUUAACAUCACAUCCUCUCCUCUUCCGUGAGGCGGCAUGGUGCCUUCUUCCCUCAGAUCCGCCCCUUGGGGAAGUCAUCUGAAAAUCUCAGGGCCACCACCUCACGCCCACGAGGAUGGCUGCUAUCAAGAAAACAGCAUUAUUCGCAAUAAUGAAUGUUAAAACAUGGAAACACGGAGGCAGCUCAGAUGUCCGACGGGGGAACGGCUAAGCAAAAUGUGACGCACGUACAACGGAACAUUAUUCAGCCUUGAAAAGGAAGGACAUUCUGCCAGCACAGCACGGCCUUGAGGACAUCCUGCGAAGUGAAACAAGUCAGUCACAAAAGGACACAUAUUACAUGAUUCCACUGACAUGAGUCACUCGAGCGGUCAAAUUCACAGAGAUACAAAGCAGAAUGGUGACUGGCAGGGACUGGGGAAGCGGAGGGGGCGUUCUGUUUGAUGGGUAGAGUUUUGUCUUACAAGACGACAAGAGUUCCGGAGACAGAUGGGUGAUGGUUGUACAGGAGUGGAAAACCCACUUAACACCACUGCCUGCGCUUGAAAACGGUGGAGAUGGUGACUCUUACGCUCCGUGUGUUUUAUCACAAUAAAGAAAAGAAAAGUCAAAAAAUAUUUUUUCAGGGCCUCACUGGACCAAACAGUCUUAAAGCCCUCUCAUUCCUGUGACUCCAUGCCACCCAACCCCACCCACCUUCUAGAAGGCCUGGCACUGUGGCAGAAAAGAACUUUACAGCCCCAGCAUUAAAACAGCACCUGGCACAAGGCGGGUGCUUGGGAAAUGUCUGUUGGUAGGAUGGAUGGACAGAAAGAUGGAGGGACAGACCCUCCUUUAAAUCUCAGAUCCUUUGGCAAACGGGCCACAUAGGUAGACUGGUGGUUGGUGCUGUUUAGAAAAUAAAAUCCCAGGGGCGCCUGGGUGGCUCGGUCA
This is a long non-coding RNA of Neofelis nebulosa (Clouded leopard), 1124 nucleotides long. RefSeq lists it as uncharacterized. The transcript has 2 exons. The record is from RefSeq and is a predicted model, not a curated record. NCBI's taxonomy places the organism in Eukaryota, Metazoa, Chordata, Mammalia, Carnivora, Felidae.